AACUGUCUUGAACUGUGCACAAUCAAAUUCUGUAACCGUCUUUAAAAAUAAUAGUUGUGGUGAAAAGUUUGUUAUAAUACAAGUUUGUUGUGGCGAUUUUGUAUUUCAGAAUGAGCGUUGAGUUGAGCUGUAAGACUCCUCCGUUUUUACUGUUUACACUGUUGACUCCGUUUGUCUGUAUACCCAAUAUCCACUUACUAUUCCUAAACUCUGCAACAAAUUGGCGGAUUGGUAAUGAAUGGAAUAACUUAUACGUUCAUCUUGUAAGUAUCGAACCAACAUUGCAACCAAACCAAUCUUUUUUCAGACCUUACAAUGAAUUUCAAAGACAGGGAUCGAAACCGUUACAAGAGACUUAAUGCACUUGCCGUCCCAUCACUUCAUUUGUUGGGAGGAACCAAAAAUACCGUACUUCGAUACCUGCGCAGCGAGAUUUGUCGCUUACGUAAGAGAGCGAAAUCUUUCAAAGACAGACUAUCCCAGGCUGCUAAAUUGUGCAAAGUCAAUGCCUUUGGAGAGGUGGUGAAAAAUAUGAGCAAACGAGCUCAGCUCCGAAAGGUCGACGUUUUACCGUUGAUGAAAAACUGCUUGCCCUUUCACUUUAUAAAAAAAGUCCCAAAGGGUAUGGAUUGCUCUACAAAUAUUUUACAUUACCUUCAAGCAAAUCGAUGAAGCGUCUGCUCACUCAAGUGAAAUUUCGUAUGGGUUUAAAUCCUACGUAUUCCAAAAAAUCCGCCAUACUGUGCUGCGGAAUAAAAAACAAGACCGCCUCUGCAGCUUAAUUGAUUGUACGUAUGGGAUUGGUGGUUCGUUAAUAUAAUCAUUUCUAAGUGUUUGAGAAACAGGUAACGAGAUCGUGAAAAAAUGGAGAAGCGUGAGGGACAACUUUUUCGAUAUGUAAAAAAAUUAAAAGAAAACAGUUCGUCUGGAUCAGGGGCAAAACAAUUUAAAAAAUAUCAUUAUUACAAUCAGUUGCAAUUUUUGUU
Pieris napi is the source of this 986-nucleotide long non-coding RNA. RefSeq lists it as uncharacterized. The record is from RefSeq and is a predicted model, not a curated record. Lineage: Eukaryota; Metazoa; Arthropoda; Insecta; Lepidoptera; Pieridae. The transcript has 3 exons.